UUGACCUCGGAUCAGGUAGGGAUACCCGCUGAACUUAAGCAUAUCAAUAAGCGGAGGAAAAGAAACCAACAGGGAUUGCCCUAGUAACGGCGAGUGAAGCGGCAACAGCUCAAAUUUGAAAUCUGGCUCUUUCAGAGUCCGAGUUGUAAUUUGCAGAGGGCGCUUUGGCGUUGGCAGCGGUCCAAGUUCCUUGGAACAGGACGUCACAGAGGGUGAGAAUCCCGUACGUGGUCGCUGGCCUUUCGCCGUGUAAAGCCCCUUCGACGAGUCGAGUUGUUUGGGAAUGCAGCUCUAAAUGGAGGUAAAUUUCUUCUAAGCUAAAACUGGCCAGAGACCGAUAGCGCACAAGUAGAGUGAUCGAAAGAUGAAAAGCACUUUGGAAAGAGAGUCAAAUAGCACGUGAAAUUGUUGAAAAGGGAAAGCGCUUGCAGCCAGACUUGCCUGUAGUUGCUCCUCCGGGCUUUUGCCCGGUGCACUCUUCUGUAGGGCAGGCCAGCAUCAGUUUGGGCGGUUGGAUAAAGGACUCUGUCACGUACCUCCUUUCGGGGAGGCCUUAUAGGGGAGUCGUCAUG
RNAcentral lists this ribosomal RNA (572 nucleotides) under Pyrenochaetopsis microspora. Its description in RNAcentral is "eukaryotic LSU rRNA". It matches the Rfam family "Eukaryotic large subunit ribosomal RNA", at positions 1 to 575 of the family's 3401-position model. Lineage: Eukaryota; Fungi; Ascomycota; Dothideomycetes; Pleosporales; Pyrenochaetopsidaceae. The record is from RNAcentral.